GCGCAGUGUGUUCGAACCUGGCUUCUAAUAUUGUGCACCCUUGCAGCAGUGCACACUUGAAAAUGAACACUGUCAUAUUAGCGAUAUGAGUUAUAUACUGUAGGCCUACAGGAAUACUCCCCUUUAAGAACGCACGAGCGUGAGCGUGGUAGACUUGGGCGUGUGUCGGCUAAUAAAGCGUCACCUGACCCUGACCUAACACUGACUGCACUGAGGGAAGAGAGGACAGAACCGCAGACAGAUAGACACUCUAAAUAAACGAACGAGUGGAUUAAAUACACAAUUAUUUCCAACAUCUCCAUCUCAUAUAGUAGCCUAUUCCGCGUCCUUGGAUUGGUGCGCCGGUCAGUGUUGGCUACUGCCACAGGGGGAAGAGGCGCAACUGCUGUAGACAAAGAGAGAAGGGCAACGCGCCUAUCAGACAUUCCUGAUCAGAAAAAAAGAUCCGGUAGGAAUAUUUUAACCCACGAGCCGACAAGGACACUGUGCGUCAUUACUACAAAACGGUUAUUUUGAAAGCUCUACAUUCUACCCGUGCAUUUACCUCCUCCGGUUUACCGUUUUGCGUGGGGAGUGGAAACACUUGACCGUCAAUUCGAUGUUCCUGCAAAACGGAUAAGAGAAUAUUCUGUGGAUUUCUGAUGAAGUUUGGACAUUUGGCCAAAUCCAUUCAUUCCGAGGACAAGAAGCGCUGCGCGGUCGCAACGUUUUCGAUCUCUUGGUUGAUUCUUUGUUAGGCCUAUUGCUUUAUUGCUGUGGUGCGAGGAAAUAUAUUCUAUUACCAGCGUAGUGUUACGUAAGAGUGGCGUUAUCCAAGGUGCUGAACUGGACGUUAUAACGGGACACAAGGCAAGGGAAGAGAGCAAUCUUGCUGAAAUAAGUUCUUCAGGUGGUCGACUACACGGGGAGAAAAUGUCGGGGCAGACGCUCACGGAUCGUAUUGCCGCUGCGCAGUACCAGUUGACGGAUCAGAGGUAUCUCGCGCCGUCUGCAAAGCCACCACUCAUGAGGUGAUGGCGCCCAAGAAAAAGCACCUGGAAUAUCUGAUCUCAGCCACCAAUGCGACCAAUGUGAACAUCCCUCAGAUGGCUGACACUCUGUUUGAGAGGGCCACCAACGCCAGCUGGAUUGUCGUCUUCAAGGCCCUCGUCACCACACACCAUAUGUGUGUCCAUGGCAAUGAGAGGUUCAUCCAGUACUUGGCCUCCAGGACCGCUCUGUUCAACCUCAGCAACUUUAUAGACAAAACAGGUUCCAACGGCUAUGACAUGUCUACGUUCAUCAGACGUUAUGGCCGCUACCUCAAUGAGAGGGCCUUCGCCUACCGCCAGAUGGCUUUCGACUUCACCAAAGUCAAAAAGGGUGCUGAGGGGGUGAUGAGGACAAUGACUCCAGAAAAGCUGUUGAAAGGCAUGCCUGUCCUGCAGACCCAGAUCGACACACUGCUGGAGUUUGACGUCCAUCCCAAGGAGCUGAAUAACCCUAUCAUCAACGCAGGGUUCCUGCUGCUCUUCAAGGAUCUGGUCAAGCUGUUUGCCUCCUAUAACGAUGGGGUCAUCAAUCUAUUAGAGAAAUACUUUAAGAUGAAGAAGAGCGACUGCAAGGAGGCCUUGGAGAUCUAUAAGAGGUUCCUGACCAGGGUCACCAAGAUCGGAGAGUUCAUGAAGCUCGCUGAGACUGUCGGAGUGGACAAAAAUGAUAUUCCUGACAUCAACUAUGCUCCCAGCAGCAUCCUGGAGUCUCUGGAGACACACAUGAACAGUUUGGAGGGGAAGAAGGGUGAAGGGUCUCCAACAAAGGGGUCCCCUACCAAUAACGUGUCCCCGACCUCCACCCCCGCCAAAUCUGCAGCCGCCGUGCCCACCCUAGCACCGCCACCUGAAGAAGCCACCGAUUCUCUCUUAGAUCUGGACCCUCUCUCCUCCUCUGGUCCGUCAGUAGGAGCCUCAGCAGCCCCUACGUCCUGGGGAGACCUCCUUGGAUCAGAAAUGGGCGAGUCCAUGCUUCCUGACCCCACCUUAGCUGUAGAACCCGUCCCCUCUCCCGCUGGUGUAACGUCCACCCCUGCAGCUGCGGAGCCAGGAGUCUCUCUGGCUCUCCUCCCCCUAAUGCGGCCGCGGCCGCUGCCCCCACCCCCCGGCGCAACGAAUAUGGAUCUGCUGGGAGAUGCAUUUUCGACCCCUGUUCCCACCUCUGAUGCCUCUGCUGAGGGCGGAGCUCCGGCCUCCACGCCAACCCCAGCCGCUGACGCUGCUGCCGACCCCUUUGCCCCCUCUGGUGGUAGCUCAGAAGCAGUAGGCCCAGGGCUGGACCUGUUUGCCAUGAUGCCUAUGGAGAACAACUGCUUUAACUCAGGGGCGCCCCCUUCUGCCCCCUCAUCCACCAUCACAGCACCUAUCACCCCCACCACCCCAUCGAUAGACCUCUUGAGUGCUAUGUUUGAUUCCAUGCCAGAUCCAAGCUUCACCAAAGCAGACCUUACCCCCAGUGUUGACAUGUUUGGAGCAGACUCCACUGGUGGAGAGACCAAGCCUGCUGCCCCUCCAGCUGCCUCUGGUGCUGAGCUGAUGGCAGCGUUUGAUGGUCUAGGGGAUGUGUUGAUGCCUUCUAUGACGCCCCAGGCCGGGGCAGCCUCGUCUCCAGUCAAACCUAUGGGAGGAGACCUGGACGCCACCAUGGCUAGCAUGGCUAGCAAUCUGGGAAUGGGGAGCCAAAAACCGGGGGAGAACACGAUGGGAGGCUGGUCAACUCCUCAGGUAGCUCCUCCCAGUUGGGGCGCUCCCAUGAACGUUCCAAUGGGGUCCCCUUCUUUUAUGGGGUCUAACCAAGGAUUCAGCAUGGGCGGAGCGGUCGGGGCUGGAGCUCCCAUGAUGCCCAUGGUUAGGCCAGGCUUUGGAGCCCCUGCAACCCCAGGAGCACCGAUGGGAUCUCCAGGGAUGGCCGGGAGUCCGAGGAGGCCUCCGCCCCCCAAGAAUGCCCUGGAUGACCUCAACAUCAAGGACUUCAUGUAAACCCCUCUAACCCUCCAAGAGGUUGUCGUUGUGUCUGGAGCUCUAUGGAUGUGGAUGUGUGCACUCCCCGCCUUCCUGUCACGCCCAAGUCCCUUCAGCCAAUCAGCCAUCAGCAUUACGACCCCUGCCCUCUGACUUCCCCGUAACCCCGCCCUCCCUCUCUGUCUGAUGUUUUAGCACAAACCGUGGAUGUGAAUCAUAAAUACAGAAAACAAAAAUGUGUAUGUGUGUGAGUGUACUUCAAUGUUAUCCUUUACUUAAAUUAAGACAAAAAAUGUAACAUAAAAAAUGAUAUUGUAUUUUGAAUCAUUCUGGUACUCCCUGAAAGAGCUGAGUUGGAAUGUGUUGUUAAACAUGGAGUGUGUUCGGUGUGUGUAAACCUCACUGGCCAAUCCCUGCCCUAUCCCCUCCCUUGCUGUCCAAUCAAAUUCUGUACUGAGCUGUGUUGCUGAGGUUAUUCAACACUUAGUUGUACUUCUCUCCAUUCAUUGAUCCAUCCAGCCUCUUAUACAGUUCUAUGGGUGUAUAUUGAUGAAAAUUCAAAUAUGUAUCAUCACAAAUCUGGGUUUACGAGAUGACGAAUCAUAUGACAACUUCCAUUUUCCAUUCAAUUCAUAUUUGUUUUUAUUUUGUCCGUUUUUUAAAAUUGUGUGUUACAUGCAACAUUUGUUGACUAUGUUCAAAUUGACAUAUGCGUUUUUGAAUAUUUUAAAUGAUAGAUUAUACAUAUAUUUCUUUAAUCUUUAUUUUGAGAGAAAAUGUAUCGUAUAUUUUAAUUAUGUCUAUGAAUUGUAAGAUUGAAAAAAAUGUAAGAAGAUUCAAAAAAGAUCCUUUCCCUUGUACAGUAUCUCCCUAUCUGUAUUUGAAGGCAGUAUUGAAUGCAAACUCAGUCCCAGUGUUUACUGUUGCACUCCCUGGUGGUGUGAAGUGGUACUGCAUUUAAGCAUGUCAAGUGAAGUUGAUCAUCCAAAUACUUUAAAAAAUCAAAAUAUACUUGUCUCCUUUCCUUAACGGCCAAUUAUCUGAAUUGAAUCGAUAGAUGAAAGGCAGUCCUUACACCUAUCAGUGGUCAUGGAGUGAAUGAGACAAGGAAAUGUUUGUAAACAUUAUUGGGGCACUUCCACAAGGUCAUUGUGAUGCAGUGAUCAGUACGGUUGUAUCGUCCCCUGUAGCAACACUCCAGGGGUGUUGCGAACUAAUUGGCUGUAAAGGUUUCAUAUAUACACUGGAUGUUCCAUGUGUUGUUUCUCUUCCAAAGUGACUAUCUUAAUGUGUUGAGAAAGAAAAAGAUACAGAACAUGUAUCAUAUAGAAUAAUGUGGAUAACAAUGUUUGCUAUAUAUUUGGUUGAAGGCGGUGUUGUUUGGUUCUUGGAUGGCAUCACUCCUCUCCUGUCCCCCACUUGCAUGUGAGUCCCAUUGAGAUGCAAUAAAAUUCAAAUACGCUGA
Oncorhynchus gorbuscha (pink salmon) is the source of this 4458-nucleotide RNA transcript. It is a transcript of the gene named clathrin coat assembly protein AP180-like, with no coding region annotated. The record is from RefSeq and is a predicted model, not a curated record. The transcript has 27 exons. NCBI's taxonomy places the organism in Eukaryota, Metazoa, Chordata, Actinopteri, Salmoniformes, Salmonidae.